RNAcentral lists this unclassified non-coding RNA (493 nucleotides) under Hevea brasiliensis (rubber tree). The record is from RNAcentral. Lineage: Eukaryota; Viridiplantae; Streptophyta; Magnoliopsida; Malpighiales; Euphorbiaceae.
GGAGAAAUUUGGGUGAAAUUUUGAAAGAGUAUGAGAGAUAUAGUAGCUGUAAAAGAAAGAAUACGCAAAUAAAAAAAGAGAAGCAAAAUAACAUUUUUUCAUGUGAUUAUAGUAGAGAAAUAAUUAAAGUAACGGCCGUUAUCGUUACAUAAAAUAGUAAAUAACAGAUGUUGCCAUUACGUAAUGGUCGUAACGAAUGUUACACAUAUAACUCCAGAUUUGCUUGUAAAUAAUAAUGGCCGUUACGUAAUUAUUUUAAACCAUGACUGCUAUCUUCAUUGUUAUUAAAUCGAGUCGAACUAGUGAUCUGGAUCCUAAAUUGAUCUGAGUUUAUAAUUUGAUUGGACAAGAAAGUGAUCUGAUUUAUCCAGCUGGUCAAACUAUUGAAUAUGUGUGACCUGAAUGGUCGGAUCUAUCAAUAGGAGCAAAAUUUUUUUUAGUGUUAGCACAGGGAAUUGAAUCCAACACUACAUAAAAGGUCUUUAAAGUCACA